Molecule: ribosomal RNA, 253 nt
Filed under: uncultured bacterium
Lineage: Bacteria
Description: partial 16S ribosomal RNA
Rfam family: Bacterial small subunit ribosomal RNA
Source: RNAcentral
UACGUAGGGCGCGAGCGUUGUCCGGAUUUACUGGGCGUAAAGAGCUCGUAGGUGGUUUGUCGCGUUGUUCGUGAAAACUCACAGCUCAACUGUGGGCGUGCGGGCGAUACGGGCAGACUGGAGUACUGCAGGGGAGACUGGAAUUCCUGGUGUAGCGGUGGGAUGCGCAGAUAUCAGGAGGAACACCGGUGGCGAAGGCGGGUCUCUGGGCAGUAACUGACGCUGAGGAGCGAAAGCGUGGGGAGCGAACAGG